UGAACGCUGGCGGCGUGCCUCAUACAUGCAAGUCGAGCGAACAGACGCGGAGCUUGCUCCUCUGACGUUAGCGGCGGACGGGUGAGUAACACGUGGAUAACCUACCUAUAAGACUGGGAUAACUUCGGGAAACCGGAGCUAAUACCGGAUAAUAUAUUGAACCGCAUGGUUCAAUAGUGAAAGACGGUUUUGCUGUCACUUAUAGAUGGAUCCGCGCCGCAUUAGCUAGUUGGUAAGGUAACGGCUUACCAAGGCAACGAUGCGUAGCCGACCUGAGAGGGUGAUCGGCCACACUGGAACUGAGACACGGUCCAGACUCCUACGGGAGGCAGCAGUAGGGAAUCUUCCGCAAUGGGCGAAAGCUUGACGGAGCAACGCCGCGUGAGUGAUGAAGGUCUUCGGAUCGUAAAACUCUGUUAUUAGGGAAGAACAAAUGUGUAAGUAACUAUGCACGUCUUGACGGUACCUAAUCAGAAAGCCACGGCUAACUACGUG
RNAcentral lists this ribosomal RNA (495 nucleotides) under uncultured bacterium. RNAcentral's name for it is "partial 16S ribosomal RNA". It matches the Rfam family "Bacterial small subunit ribosomal RNA", at positions 30 to 507 of the family's 1533-position model. The record is from RNAcentral.